This 983-nucleotide ribosomal RNA is filed under the name Linnemannia zychae. RNAcentral's name for it is "eukaryotic LSU rRNA". It matches the Rfam family "Eukaryotic large subunit ribosomal RNA", at positions 92 to 934 of the family's 3401-position model. Lineage: Eukaryota; Fungi; Mortierellomycota; Mortierellomycetes; Mortierellales; Mortierellaceae. The record is from RNAcentral.
AGUGAAGCGGGAUGAGCUCAAAUUUAAAAUCUGGCUGGUUUACUAGUUCCGAAUUGUAGUUUAUAGAAGCGUUUUCGGUGGCAGCCUGGGUAUAAAUCCUUUGGAAUAGGGUAUCAUAGAGGGUGAGAAUCCCGUCUUUGACUCAGUGCAUGCUACUAUGUGAUACGUUUUCAAAGAGUCGAGUUGUUUGGGAAUGCAGCUCAAAAUGGGUGGUAAAUUUCAUCUAAAGCUAAAUAUUGGCGAGAGACCGAUAGCGAACAAGUACCGUGAGGGAAAGAUGAAAAGAACUUUGAAAAGAGAGUUAAACAGUGCGUGAAAUUGUUGAAAGGGAAACGUUUGACACCAGUUAUGCGGGUGGAAAAUCAGUCUUUUGCAGUGGGGAGUUGUGGGCGUUCAGACCGCAAGGCUGGCGUUUGCUUCAUCUUUGUUGUAAGUGAUGCACUUUUUCAUUUGCAGGUCAACAUCAGUUUGCUCUGCUGGACAAAACUCCAAGGGAAGGUGGCAGCUUAGGCUGUGUUAUAGCCCUGGAGCGAUACAGUGGGGUGGACUGAGGUUUCGCAGUGUGUGCUUUCGGGCAAGGCUGACUGGGUGCUAUGGGAUCGUUCGGCGUACAAUGCAUGCAUUUUGCGUCGUGUCUUUUUCAUACUCGCUCAACUCGGCUCUUCCACGCUUAGGAUGUUGACUUAAUGGUUUUAAACGACCCGUCUUGAAACACGGACCAAGGAGUCUAACAUAUAUGCAAGUGUUUGGGUGGCAAACCCAUGCGCGUAAUGAAAGUGAACGUAGGUGCGAUCCGCAAGGUGCAGCAUCGACCGAUCUUGAUAUUUUUGGAUAGAUUUGAGUAAGAGCAUAUAUGCUGGGACCCGAAAGAUGGUGAACUAUGCCUGAAUAGGGUGAAGCCAGAGGAAACUCUGGUGGAGGCUCGUAGCGAUUCUGACGUGCAAAUCGAUCGUCAAAUUUGGGUAAUAGGGGCGAAAGACUAA